Long non-coding RNA from Daucus carota subsp. sativus, 1554 nucleotides. RefSeq lists it as uncharacterized. The transcript has 7 exons. Lineage: Eukaryota; Viridiplantae; Streptophyta; Magnoliopsida; Apiales; Apiaceae. The record is from RefSeq and is a predicted model, not a curated record.
UCUCUUUGUUUUAUUCAUUCUCUCUGCUGGUUUCUAUCGUCCCUCUUCUCUUUGCCGCUCCUUACCCGCAAUUUGUGUUCGGUAAUGGAUUGCCUCGCCAAGAUUGAGUUUCAGGGGAAAUGUUUGCUUCAAUAUUAGUGUGUGUAUAAAUUGGAUUUACGCAGCACACCCCUCCUCCCAAUGGAUAGUUCCCCAAAACAACGUGGCAGGCCGAAGCCCUCCGAACACGACAUUUUUGGUCUCUCUCUAUCUAUACGUAUCUACCUAUUACUCUUUUCUGACGUUACUGUGUUUUAAUAGUUGUUAAAUUCAAUGCACACAACUUGUUUGAUUAAACGUGUGAAAGAAAUUGCUCGCUUGCUACUGGGGUUUCAGGAAUUUGUUGGUACGCCGAUCAAACGAUGAGGUUUAUUGAUAGGUCUAGGGAAAUUUUGAAGGUGCAGAAAAUUCAGAGAAUCGUGUCGCAUACCGGGUUUUAUUGCUUCACAGCAGUUGUUACUUGUGCCUACACUAAUAACAUGUGAGUUUGGUCCUAACUCUAAUUCUGAAAUGUAAAUUAAAUUGGGGGGUUUUAUUGGUUUGUUGAUUUGGGUUAUACAGGACCCAGCUGGAAUAGAGCUUUUGACUAAUGAUGUCAAGUUAUAUGUGCUCUUGGCAAUUGCUUUGAAAUCGAAGAGUGGGGACCAAUUAAGUGGUGCGUAAUGUCUGAUCAUUUCACCCGUCAAGGGAAAUCCCCGUUUGAAUAUCACGUUGGUUGGGGUUGUGCUUACCGAUCACUACAGACCAUCAUUUCUUGGUUUAGGCUCCAGCAUUACACUUCACACAGGUGAGCUGUAAUGUUAUAAAUGUAGGAUCAGGAGAUGAAAUUCCUGAAAAAUGUCGUGAGCUGGCCUUGCAUUUUGAAACCCAGGGAACUCCCAUAAUGAUUGGUAAGUCAGAUUCAAUAUCAGCUGGUGUCGACGUCUGAUAACAAGAAAGCAGAAUACAAAGAUGAUGAAAUAUCAGCUGACGUCAAAUAUCCAGUGAAGCAUGCACUCUCUCGUGAGCUACAGGAACCGCAUCGGAGAAUUUACCGCCAGUAUCUCUUUUUGCGAGCCAAUCUUAACGUCAAAGAUCAACAAAUACAAUGUCUUAGGGCCGAGUCGAGUAUGAAUGCCCAAGCUGUGAAGACAUUUGUAGAAGAAAACCAGAAAUUGGCUAUGGAGUGCUCAAACUUACUUUCUCAGUGUAAUGCGUAACUCAAAAAGUUUCCAUCUUUUAUUUGCUUUCAAAGGAGGUAGGGGAGUGCCAUGGUUGAUUCCGAUCAAGAUCGAACUGCAGUUGCAGCGGCGACAAUGAUAGGAGGAGAGAGCAGUAAAGGGAAGGUUGUGGGUUCAGUGAUUCUGUUCAAACAUUUAGUGAUUCCGUUCAAAUCAAUUAGUGAUUGGUUGUACGUUUGUACAAUAACAAGUUUGUAUUUGAGCACUUGCUUAUAUCCCUCCUUUUUUUUAGUUUUAGAUUUAUCCAAUAACCCUCCUUACUCAUUCCUCAACUCUCAUUGGGUAUUUGCUUCUA